AGUCGAGCGGUAGAGAGGUGCUUGCACCUCUUGAGAGCGGCGGACGGGUGAGUAAAGCCUAGGAAUCUGCCUGGUAGUGGGGGAUAACGCUCGGAAACGGACGCUAAUACCGCAUACGUCCUACGGGAGAAAGCAGGGGACCUUCGGGCCUUGCGCUAUCAGAUGAGCCUAGGUCGGAUUAGCUAGUUGGUGAGGUAAUGGCUCACCAAGGCGACGAUCCGUAACUGGUCUGAGAGGAUGAUCAGUCACACUGGAACUGAGACACGGUCCAGACUCCUACGGGAGGCAGCAGUGGGGAAUAUUGGACAAUGGGCGAAAGCCUGAUCCAGCCAUGCCGCGUGUGUGAAGAAGGUCUUCGGAUUGUAAAGCACUUUAAGUUGGGAGGAAGGGCAUUAACCUAAUACGUUAGUGUUUUGGCGUUACCGACAGAAUAAGCACCGGCUAACUCUGUGCCAGCAGCCGCGGUAAUACAGAGGGUGCAAGCGUUAAUCGGAAUUACUGGGCGUAAAGCGCGCGUAGGUGGUUCGUUAAGUUGGAUGUGAAAUCCCCGGGCUCAACCUGGGAACUGCAUUCAAAACUGUCGAGCUAGAGUAU
This 594-nucleotide ribosomal RNA is filed under the name uncultured bacterium. Its description in RNAcentral is "bacterial SSU rRNA". It matches the Rfam family "Bacterial small subunit ribosomal RNA", at positions 60 to 649 of the family's 1533-position model. The record is from RNAcentral.